Molecule: ribosomal RNA, 229 nt
Filed under: Enterococcus faecalis
Lineage: Bacteria; Bacillati; Bacillota; Bacilli; Lactobacillales; Enterococcaceae
Description: partial 23S ribosomal RNA
Rfam family: Bacterial large subunit ribosomal RNA
Source: RNAcentral
GGCUUAGUGAUCCGGUGGUUCCGCAUGGAAGGGCCAUCGCUCAACGGAUAAAAGCUAACCUGGGGAUAACAUGCUUAUCUCCCCAAAGAGUCCACAUCGACGGGGAGGUUUGGCACCUCGAUGUCGGCUCGUCGCAUCCUGGGGCUGUAGUCGCUCCCAAGGGUAGGGCUGUUCGCCCAUUAAAGCGGCACGCGAGGUGGGUGCAGAACGUCGUGAGACAGUUCGGUCC